RNAcentral lists this ribosomal RNA (467 nucleotides) under uncultured bacterium. RNAcentral's name for it is "partial 16S ribosomal RNA". It matches the Rfam family "Bacterial small subunit ribosomal RNA", at positions 28 to 507 of the family's 1533-position model. The record is from RNAcentral.
GACGAACGCUGGCGGCGUGCUUAACACAUGCAAGUCGAACGGAAAGGCCCUGCUUUUGGGGGUGCUCGAGUGGCGAACGGGUGAGUAACACGUGAGUAACCUGCCCUUGACUUUGGGAUAACUUCAGGAAACUGGGGCUAAUACCGGAUAGGAGCUCCUGCUGCAUGGUGGGGGUUGGAAAGUUUCGGCGGUUGGGGAUGGACUCGCGGCUUAUCAGCUUGUUGGUGGGGUAGUGGCUUACCAAGGCUUUGACGGGUAGCCGGCCUGAGAGGGUGACCGGCCACAUUGGGACUGAGAUACGGCCCAGACUCCUACGGGAGGCAGAAGUGGGGAAUAUUGCACAAUGGGCGGAAGCCUGAUGCAGCAACGCCGCGUGCGGGAUGACGGCCUUCGGGUUGUAAACCGCUUUCGCCUGUGACGAAGCGUGAGUGACGGUAAUGGGUAAAGAAGCACCGGCUAACUACGUG